CUCAAAUAUCGACAAGCACGCUAAAUGCUCGAAUAAAUUGGUUAAUUUGGUUUUGUUUUUGGUUUUAGGGGAUCCGGUUUUUCGGGUUUCUGAUGUGUCUUUGCAGCUUGCGGAUGCCUCUCUAUUUAAGCCGAAAUAGCUAAAGUUGAGAAAGAACAAUUGGAGCUUAGAUUCUUGCACUUGGGAGUGUAAAUUUGGAUUUAUAAAUGGGUUUUUUGUUUAAAUUUUUUGGUUGUGAUUUUGGGGAUUUUGUUUGUGGGUUCGGAUUCUGAGUGAUGGUGGUUAAUUUGGUUGUGUUUUUGGUUUCAGGAGAUCUGAUUUUUUGGGUUUAUGAUAUUUCUUUGCAGCAUGCGAAGGCCUCUGUAUUUAAGGUGAACAGUUUUAAAACGCUUUUUAUUCGGUUUGCAGCCUGAGACGUAAUUUUAAAACUGAAAUUUCCAAGCUUUUCGAUUAAUCUUAAAUCAGGGACCUACAAAAGCUUGAUUUUCAGGAAGUCACCAAUCCUGCAGAAACUUUGGGUUUCCUGCUUUCUCACCAGAGAUCUUCGUCAUCACUGCUCCACCAAACUUGCCGAUAGCGUCCGCCCUCUCAAACCAGAAGUUAGUGGCGAUUCGUUCACCGGAAUGAGAAUUCGACGGCACCCUCUUUGUCUCUGCCACGAAACUGUCAACUACUCUCUCCGUGGAAAAAUAAAUUAGGGUUCUUCUUCGAUUAUCUCAGCUCGCAAGUUCUUCUAUGGAGUCUAAUCCCCUCUAUGGUGUGGAUAAGGGUUUCAAAGUGAUGCCAUCUUCAUAUCAUGAUAUCAGCAAAGUUGAGUUUCAAGAUACUUGGGAUUGGUUUGGUAUGCUUUGCAUAACUUAGUUGAAUUUUCAUAUUACAAUUCUUUGCAAUUUUUUCCACAUGAGAGUUUGAACUUGAAUUAUGCAUACAUAUACAAUAGGGUAGACCUUGGUACAGUUUCUAUUUUGGUGUUCAUGUACACCUCAACAGGCUUACUUUACUUUCACAGAAUGUUUCUGGUUUCUGUUUGUCUUGGGGGAAAAUUUACAGUUGUGGAGAAGUUUUUGGUGAAAUAUGAUCAAGUAUAAGCUUUGCAGGUUGUUUUGUUUCAUCAGCUAGGAGUAGUGCUGGAUUUUUGUGUCGCAGAAAUGAGUUCAAAUUUUUCAUAAAUAGAAUUAUUUGUUUUGAAAAUUGGGUUUGAAGGUACUCAACUGUACCGUUGUUCAGAAGGGUUGGUGUGGAACUGAUUGCAAUUGAAUUGGAUGAACUGGGUACGAAUUUUUCUACCUGUUACAUGGCAAUGUUGUAGUUUGCAAUUCAAUCCUUAGAAUAAUGUAAUUGAAUUUUAUCGUAUUUUUAGCCUGUUCUUUAAUCGUUGUUUUAUCUCUAUUGGGAUUGUGAUUGAAAAGAAAUUAGACUACACUGUCUCUUUGAAUGGGGGUUUUCAAGUUUUGGACCUCUAAGUUCUGGUCCAUGGGAGAGCUAAUAAUGUUUUUAUCAUCAUUGUUAUGCCGUUUUGCACUCAACAUAUGUGUAAGAGGAAGCAAUAACAUCAUCUGUAUAACAAUCUACUUAACGUUGUCAAGUAGAUUGCUAUAUACUUUAUCUUU
Molecule: non-coding RNA, 1610 nt
Organism: Malus domestica (apple)
Lineage: Eukaryota; Viridiplantae; Streptophyta; Magnoliopsida; Rosales; Rosaceae
Source: RefSeq, a predicted model, not a curated record